RNAcentral lists this ribosomal RNA (433 nucleotides) under uncultured bacterium. Its description in RNAcentral is "partial 16S ribosomal RNA". It matches the Rfam family "Bacterial small subunit ribosomal RNA", at positions 29 to 507 of the family's 1533-position model. The record is from RNAcentral.
AACGAACGCUGGCGGCAUGCCUAACACAUGCAAGUCGAACGAGACCUUCGGGUCUAGUGGCGCACGGGUGCGUAACGCGUGGGAACCUGCCCUUAGGUUCGGAAUAACUCCCCGAAAGGGGUGCUAAUACCGGAUAAUGUCUUCGGACCAAAGAUUUAUCGCCUUUGGAUGGGCCCGCGUUGGAUUAGCUAGUUGGUAGGGUAAAAGCCUACCAAGGCGACGAUCCAUAGCUGGUCUGAGAGGAUGAUCAGCCACACUGGGACUGAGACACGGCCCAGACUCCGACGGGAGGGAGCAGUGGGGAAUAUUGGACAAGGGGCGAAAGCCUGAUCAAGCAAUGCCGCGUGAGUGAUGAAGGCCUUAGGGUUGUAAAGCUCUUUUACCCGGGAUGAUAAUGACAGUACCGGGAGAAGAAGCUCCGGCUAACUCCGUG